Molecule: long non-coding RNA, 1093 nt
Organism: Mauremys mutica (yellowpond turtle)
Lineage: Eukaryota; Metazoa; Chordata; Testudines; Geoemydidae
Exons: 7
Source: RefSeq, a predicted model, not a curated record
CUCUCUCUCACACACACACACUAUCUAUCUAUCUCAGAGUUAUCUUAAGAGCUUUCUAUAAGUCUUUUAACAGUUCUCCUUUGACACAAUGACCAUCUACCUUCUAUGUUUGCUGUAUUAUUGAAGUUAUUACUUAGAGGAAUGGUAUCAUUUUCAUUUUCUUGAUGCUCUUGUUGCUGUACUAUAUCAUUUCUUCUUUCAACUGAGUCUAGCCUUGCAGUGAAAUACCUCGGGAGCUGACCAUAAUCCAAAAGAAAGAGCUACACAAAGGCACAGAAAAGUAUUAGGAUGGAAGUCAAAGUCUGAUGUGUCUGACAACAUCCAGCAAGUGCAAUUUCACUAGUUCAGACACAUAUAAAUGAUGACUGAAGAAGACUGGGUGAAGAUAGCAUGGCAGGAGAGGGUGUUAGGAAAGAGACCCUGAGAAGCUGAGGAAGUGAUGGAUGGAUUGCAUAAAAGAAACUGAUAAGUAUAAGAUAACAUUGCAUUGAAGGCACCUCAAAUUUCUGUGGCGAGCAGGCCUGUUUGAAAGAGCAAUUGCCUCAUUCACCCUGGUUAUCAGAGGUGAGACAAGGCAGAGAUAUUUCAGCUAUUACUAAUGAGGCUGCCUAAUUAAAAGUGAAGAGUGAUGUGAAGCUCCCACUCUCUCUCUGGAUGAUCAUUAAUGAAGAUGUUAACUGCUACAAGACCUAACAUUGAUUCGUGUGGUGCCCUACGAGAUGCUUCUUCCCAAUUCAAUACAUUGCCAUUUAUCACUUACAUUUGUUAAUAGACUUUCAGCCAGUUUUUAAUCAAGGCAACAAAAUUUGUAAUACCGGUUGUUUUGAAUUAAUUUUAGGGAAAUAUCUUUUUAAAGACAGGGAAUCAACUAUUUUACUAAAGAUCAAAACAUUCUAUCAACUGCAUUCCUUUCAUCUAGUAGGGGUCUGAUUACCCAACCCUUACUCAUACAAGCAGUCCUUAUUUACAUGAGUGAAGAUUAAUUACAAAAGAGAUGGCUGAAAUAGAAUUGAGACAAAAUUUUGUAAUAAAAAAAAAAUUAUCAAGCUUUUUCUUUAUAAACCUGUGCUGUUCUUUGUUGCUUCUGGUUCUU